CUCUCCCCCGUGACCUCUUCGACCCAAACCUCAAGCGAAAAUUCCCUAGCUCGCUAGACCGGCGCAGGACUGUGACUGCGCGCCUCCUUUUACCUGAGAGGGACCGCCGGGCCCCCGGGCGCAGCCGCCAAAGGCGGGGAGCCGCCGCCGCCCCGGCGCAACUCAUUGCCGGAACUAAAAAAAGCAACCACUUCGUUGAACGGAACUGGCCAAUAGUGCCCUUGGCUCGGACUGAUGACGCACAGCAGACGUAAGGAAGGCUCAGCUCGCCCGCGCACCGGUGGGAACGCCCCCUAGCUCUGCGCUAGGGGUUAGAUUGGUUAGAUACGACAAAUAAAAAGAUUUUAUUGGGUGGGGUCACUGUCAAUCACUCGGAAGACCAAGGCCAAGGCGCCUUGGGUUGCCAGGGAGAUGAAAAUGCUAAAUUGCUGUUUAGAAAGAUCAGGACAAGGUUAUGAUUUCUCACCCAAGUUCCUGGGGAAAAGGAUCAUGAGGGAAUUACUUAUUAACAAGGAAAAAGCAAAGAGGAACUUUACAAACUAUUACAGUUUUCCAUCAUCACUUGACUGCUGACAAGAAGCCUCUUUGAAUUCCAGUAUACACGAUCACAUUUUAAAACCUUCAAGACGCCGUUUAAUCAGGAGUUGUAAGGCACAUUUGUUAGAGAGAGCUGCACUUUAAAAGUUAUACAGACAUCACCUGAAGUUAUUAAAGUUAUCAAAACAUAUUAAAAACCUUCAAGUAAGAGGUAUGCAUAUUAGCAGCAUUUAACUAAAAUUAAUAUAUUAAUUAGCAUAUUUCAGUAUCACUUUUAUAAUAGGAAAAAAAACGCAGUACGUUUUCGUUGUGUUCAUCACACACACACACACACACACACACAAAUAGAAAACUUGAAUAUCAUCAAGUCUGGUCACAGUGAAAAUGUUAUAUAAAUAUAAAGGCACUGGGCAGAAAUGUUUACAAUUACAACUUUUUUUUUCUUUUCACCUAUCUUUUUUUUUGAGAUAGGGUCUCCCUCUGUCACCUAGGCUGGAGUACAGUGGCACGGUCUCGCACACUGCAGCCUUCACCUCCCAGGUUCAAGUGAUUCUCAUGCCUCAGCCUCCCAAGUAGCUGGGAUUACAGGCACACGCCACCAUGCCUGGCUAAUUUUUGUACUUUUAGUAGAGACGGGGUCUUGCCACAUUGACCAGGCUGGUCUCAAACUUCUGACUUCAGGUGAUCUGCCCUCCUUGGACUCCCAAAGUUCUGGGAUUGCAGGCAUGAGCCACUGUGCCCAGCAGAAUUUAUUUUUUUAAGUGAGACUGGAAUGAAUCUUUGGUUACUCAAAAUUCCAUGACACCAGUUAUUAGAUUUAGACGAGAUCAGGCAUUUUCAGGGUGGUAUGACUGUAGUUAUUAGAUUUAGAAACCCAUAAACCUUACCAAGUCAGGAAAAGACCGAAAAGCUCAUUGGUAUCCCAGUUACAAAAAUAUUCCACUUUAAAUAAUAUCUUUGUGGAAAAGCAAGAAAAUGGCUGUAAGAAAGGGACGAGAAGAUACCUUUGCUCCUCUGAGCAAGGAUUCAGGCAUUUUUGAGUAGUGGAGUGGAGAUGGCCGGGAGAAUUAUUGUUAACAGCAACAGCUUUCUAAAACCUGCACCCAACUUUAAAUUCCAGGCUACUCCCCAGGAAACGUGUGGAGCCAGUGAACGGAAGAAAAACAAUGGAAGGAAGGCUUGAAAAGUCCAUUACAAAACUACAGUCCUUUGAAAAAGAUUUCAAAGAUAUUAAAAUGAAAACUGAUUACAUUAAACAAUAACUUAAACUUCUGUUCUUCUGUUAAAAGGUUGACAUCUAUCAAUUUUGGGUAAGCUUACAAUGAGGUAUUUAUUGCAUAUGGUUUUUACCAUAACGGAAAUCUUAAGAGAUAUUCUACAUUUUUUUUUUAGGGAGAGUUUUGCUCUUUUUGCCCAGGCUGGAGUGCAAUGGUGUGAUCUCAGCUCACUGCAAACUCCACCUCCUGGGUUCAAGCAAUUCUCCUGCCUCAGCCUCCUGAGUAGCUGAUAUUACAGGCAUGUGCCACCACACCCAGCUAAUUUUGUAUUUUAGUGGAGACGGAGUUUCUCCACGUUGGUCAGGCUGGUCUUGAACUCCCCAACUUAGGUGCUCCGCCUGCCUCGGCCUCCCAAAGUGUUGGGAUAACAGGCGUGAGCCGCUGCGCCCAGCCACAUGUUUUGUGAAAUAAAGGCACAUGCAUUAAAAAUUGUAAGCACAGGAAAACAACCCUAAAAAAUGUGGACGUGUGUGUUUAAGAAACCAGCCUCCAAUUCUGUUUGUUAUACACUCAUGGGCUGGUCUGAUUAACAGGCUGAGCUUCAGUCCACAACCCAAAACACUUGUGCACAUAAACUCGUGGCUCAAAUACUAAACUACCGUCUCCGCUCUUUCAUUCUUGUAAAAGCUUGAAUGGCUUGUUGGUUUUUGGUAGAGUUGUCACAGAGUGGCCGGUCUGCAGGCAAAGCCUUGGGUUUCCCCUGCUUUUCUAAGUCACUGAAGCCCUAAUUAAGGGCUGGGUUAGGUAAACACAGCUGCACAUAUGGAAAAGCCUAAACUCAAGAAAAAUAUAUUUUUAAAUGUCCACUCAAAACCCAGGUAGACUCUGUAGGCUCAGCAGAAUCACUAGGUCAGCUUAGAAGCAACAGGCAGCACCAUCUUCACGCUCAGUCUAGUUAGUUCCUCAUGUCCCUUUGGGCUUCUGUUAGUUUCUGGAUUAGGUAGCACUUGUCACGACUUUCCUAAAAAAUAAUAAGUUCACAUGUACAUUUAAUAUAUUUGGAAACAAAUACCAUCAUUACCUACCAGACUGAGGGCUGAGGAUUCUAACCACUGGACUAUUGUAAUGGCCUCUCAUCUGGUCUGUCAUUGUGUCUGCUCCACAGCCCCUUGUCCACAAAGCAGCCGAUCCUUUUUUUAAAAAAUGCACAGUACAGCUGGACACGGUGGCUCAUGCCUGUAAUCCCAGCACUUUGGGAGGCCGAGGCAGGUGGAUCACCUGAGGUCAGAAGUUUGAGACCAGCCUGACCAAUAUAG
RNAcentral lists this long non-coding RNA (3070 nucleotides) under Homo sapiens (human). RNAcentral's name for it is "non-protein coding lnc-SMG1-5:1". The record is from RNAcentral. Lineage: Eukaryota; Metazoa; Chordata; Mammalia; Primates; Hominidae.